CCUACGGGAGGCAGCAGUGAGGAAUCUUGGUCAAUGGGCGCGAGCCUGAACCAGCCAAGUAGCGUGAAGGAUGCCUGCCCUACGGGUUGUAAACUUCUUUUAUAAAGGAAUAAAGUGAGGCACGUGUGCCUUUUUGUAUGUACUUUAUGAAUAAGGAUCGGCUCACUCCGUGCCAGCAGCCGCGGUAAUACGUAGGAUGCGAGCGUUGUCCGGAUUUAUUGGGUUUAAAGGGAGCGUAGUUGGGUUGUUAAGUCAGUUGUGAAAGUUUGCGGCUCAACCGUAAAAUUGCAAUUGAUACUGGCAGUCUUGAGUACAGUUGAGGUAGGCGGAAUUCGUGGUGUAGCGGUGAAAUGCUUAGAUAUCACGAAGAACUCCGAUUGCGAAGGCAGCUUACUAAACUGCCACUGACAUUGAUGCUCGAAAGUGUGGGUAGCAAACAGGAUUAGAUACCCGUGUAGUC
This 460-nucleotide ribosomal RNA is filed under the name uncultured bacterium. Its description in RNAcentral is "partial 16S ribosomal RNA". It matches the Rfam family "Bacterial small subunit ribosomal RNA", at positions 338 to 795 of the family's 1533-position model. The record is from RNAcentral.